GCAUAUCAAUAAGCGGAGGAAAAGAAACUAACAAGGAUUCCCCUAGUAACGGCGAGUGAAGCGGGAAGAGCUCAAAUUUGAAAUCUGGUAGCCUUCGGUUGCCCGAGUUGUAAUCUAGAGAAGUGUUUUCCGCGUUGGCCCAUGUACAAGUCCCUUGGAACAGGGCGUCAUAGAGGGUGAGAAUCCCGUCCUUGACAUGGACCCCCAAUGCUUUGUGAUACACUUUCAACGAGUCGAGUUGUUUGGGAAUGCAGCUCAAAAUGGGUGGUGAAUUCCAUCUAAAGCUAAAUAUUGGCGAGAGACCGAUAGCGAACAAGUACCGUGAGGGAAAGAUGAAAAGCACUUUGGAAAGAGAGUUAAACAGUACGUGAAAUUGUUGAAAGGGAAACGAUUGAAGUCAGUCAUGCUCUUUGGAUUAAGCCGUUCUGCGGUGUAUUUCAUUGAGCGGGGUCAACAUCAGUUUUGAUCGCUGGAAAAGGGCAGGAGGAAGGUAGCACUCUCGGGUGAACUUAUAGCCUCUUGUCGUAUACAGUGAUUGGGACUGAGGAACGCAGCAUGCCUUUUGGCCGGGAUUCGUCCACGUACAUGCUUAGGAUGUUGACACAAUGGCUUUAAACGACCCGUCUUGAAACACGGACC
RNAcentral lists this ribosomal RNA (639 nucleotides) under Naganishia globosa. Its description in RNAcentral is "eukaryotic LSU rRNA". It matches the Rfam family "Eukaryotic large subunit ribosomal RNA", at positions 38 to 667 of the family's 3401-position model. The record is from RNAcentral. Lineage: Eukaryota; Fungi; Basidiomycota; Tremellomycetes; Filobasidiales; Filobasidiaceae.